Non-coding RNA from Aegilops tauschii subsp. strangulata, 2089 nucleotides. The record is from RefSeq and is a predicted model, not a curated record. NCBI's taxonomy places the organism in Eukaryota, Viridiplantae, Streptophyta, Magnoliopsida, Poales, Poaceae.
CUCGCCCGUCGCUGAAAUUGCUGCCCCGCACGAGGGUUUCUUCCGCCGCCGCGCCCCCAUCCCUCCGCCGCCGCCGUCCCUCCACCCUGUGGUACCCGUCCUCGAUCCGUGGUCACCAAAUCCGGACGAGAUCGGCAGGAUCUGCCGCAUGUCCCGCGACACCUAGCCGCAGCUGCUCGUCGGCCAUGCGGGGAGCACGGACGAGCUGCUCGUCAACGUCCAUCCCGCAGCCCCGCUGACGACCGUGCCCAGCCUCCUCGACAGCGCGCCUCUCCAACUUGCCGCAUGCCAAAUUUUAGUAGGGGAAGGAUGGAUACCGCAAGGCUUUCAUAUGUGUUUUGAUUUUGCCGAUAGGGAUUUCUAAUAUUCUGACAAGAGUCAAACUAGCAAUCGUGAAGAUGGAGAAUUCAUGCAACUCCAUCUUACUUCAACCCUCAGCCAUCUAAUUGGUGGUAUGGUGUGCUUCUGAUGGUAUUUCACGGCGUUUGUACCAGCAGCAUAGUAAAAAACUCCCGUCAACACGGCUUAUUUAUCGUUUCUGGAGGGCCUCACAGAUGAGCUAUUCAUCGGCGGCACCUUGCCAGUCAUUUAGAGGAUCUGCGGGAACAAAUAAACAAGCAGAGCGUCAUCAGUCAGGGACCAACAUCCAUGCCAACUGCCCAAGAUGACUGCUAAGGCAAUUAAUAUUCUCUCUCAAUCUUCAGCCACCAUCUGAUGUUAAUUGAUCUUGAUCUUCCCCACUCACCAAUUCUGAAGACACUUCGGAUCUCACAUUAACUUCAUUCAGUCUUUAAGAAUAAUCAAAGACAUAUGGAUCUCAAAGCUAUGGAUCAUGCGCCCAUACAAAAAAGGACAACUGACUAGAUUGAUGAUACGUUAUGGCAAGAAGGCUAUAUAUUCAUGGUAUUCUUAACCCUACUCUUGACAUUUUAACCGAUGCCCAUAGGAAACAUAAUUAGGCAUUUUCAACUAUCAAAGUUUCUUUCAGCAUGCUUUCCAUAAUAUAUUGAAAUUUGACAACAAAAUUGUUUUCUGUGAUGUUAUGUAAUCAAUUCAGAGUGUGUAGAAGAUGUUGUCCUGGUUGUGUAGAGUAUGCGGUGCGUAGCUUCUUGUGUGUGUGUGUGCAUAUAUGUUAAUUGGUGGCUGUGCAUAUAUGUUAAUUGGUGGCUGGUGUGUGUGCAGGGUGCAAAUGGGGCCAGUGAGUAGGCGGCGAGUAUACUACGCCGAGAAGCGAUACAGGGGCAUGAAUCUUGAGCCGGUGUGCGCAACGACCUGCGCUACUGCACUAAUAGCCUUGACAGAGCACUAGGGCCGGCUCGACAGGGCAUGCAGCCCGCCGGUGGACGCCUGAAUGUGCGCGACGGAGAUGAACCCCGCGUCGUCGCCUCUAUAGCCUGGACAGAGCUCCACCAGUGCUCGUGAUGAACCCCAUGUAUGUGCUGGUGAUGGCGCUCUCCGUCUACUUUCUCCACCGGCUAUCAGAGAGUAGAGAUCACAUUGUGGAUUUGUGCUUUCUUCAGAGAUGUGCUCCUGUCGUUGUUGGUUGUCAAAUUUGUGAUGUAAUCCGUCCCUAUGUCGAUGUCUUAACCACUUCGUACUACCGCACAAUUAGCAGAACAGAGCAGAUGCCGCAGUCUACCCAUUGAUUUCUUGGAGUGAUUCAAACCUAGGAAAGCCUGCUACUUGUGCAAGCAACAGGCUGCAGCAUUGGUCAACUGGCUUGAGCACAGCUCACAUGAGUCAUCGCCAAAUGACCCUUUUCUGAAAUUCACUGAGAGAGGAGUUACUCCAUGUCAGUAUGUACAUACAGAUGCAAGCAAUGGAUAAACUCAUGAAGACCAUGUCUAUUAGUCCUUCAGUAUUUUUUGGAAUGAGAUGACACGUUGUAUGCCAGGUAACAAGCAACUGAAGCAAGGGAAAGAAUGAGCCCCUGAACCCAGGAUGCAUGGCGAAGGAUCCAAUAUGUCAGGACCAAUGAGGGAAUUGCAGAGCUUCAUAUACAUUUGCCUUCUUCAAGUGUCUAGAUUACAUGAAACAUGUUUCUUCAAGUGUCUACACACUACAGGAAAUAAGUUUCUUAUGGAAGUAG